Molecule: transfer RNA, 76 nt
Filed under: Caldisericota bacterium
Lineage: Bacteria; Pseudomonadati; Caldisericota
Description: tRNA-Arg
Rfam family: tRNA
About the family: Transfer RNA (tRNA) molecules are approximately 80 nucleotides in length. Their secondary structure includes four short double-helical elements and three loops (D, anti-codon, and T loops). Further hydrogen bonds mediate the characteristic L-shaped molecular structure. tRNAs have two regions of fundamental functional importance: the anti-codon, which is responsible for specific mRNA codon recognition, and the 3' end, to which the tRNAs corresponding amino acid is attached (by aminoacyl-tRNA synthetases). tRNAs cope with the degeneracy of the genetic code in two manners: having more than one tRNA (with a specific anti-codon) for a particular amino acid; and 'wobble' base-pairing, i.e. permitting non-standard base-pairing at the 3rd anti-codon position.
Source: RNAcentral
GCGCCCGUAGCUCAAGGGAUAGAGCGACGGCCUCCGGAGCCGUAGGUUGCAGGUUCGAAUCCUGUCGGGCGCACCA